This 1182-nucleotide long non-coding RNA is filed under the name Brachypodium distachyon (stiff brome). RNAcentral's name for it is "long non-coding RNA (BDIS_LNC000275)". Lineage: Eukaryota; Viridiplantae; Streptophyta; Magnoliopsida; Poales; Poaceae. The record is from RNAcentral.
GGGUGUAAAUUCCGAAAAUUUGCUUCUCAACGGUGUAUGGAUAUUAACUGCAUUACAUCAGAUGAUUUCUGUGUUAGUCGUUACCCCUCUCUGGAUCUUCUCGUAUUGUUUCAGAAAAUGUUAGGAUAAAUUUGCGAUAAUUCAGUUAACGCUAAAGGACAACGGUAAAACUUUCACUCCACCGUGUCGACCGGAUAAGAGAGAAUAAAGAGUCAGAAAAACAAAAGGCCCCUAAGUUUUUCUUGUGUGUUAAUGGUGAGCAAAUUUCAUGUGGCCGACAUAUCGGACCUCCUUACCGAAAGUAAAGUUUCUUUUGCGUUUUCUUCAUGAGAGACAGUUGUGAUGCACGAAGCUAUCACAGCAAAAUCAUUAUCUAUAAUGAUGUUGUGGUUUGUUUUGUCAUUCAUAGGAUAUAUAGUUAUGUGUCCAAAUGAAUCUGUUUUCUUUUUUAACAUUAUAUUAUUUUUUCUGUUUUGUCUUCAAAUAAAAACAAGUUUCCUCAUGUGUUAAAACAAUGGACCGAAGUAGGCCUUGCCUUCUUAGUGAGAAUUUGUAUCGUAUUUUUUGUUUUUUAAACCCGUUGUGUUUUUGUUCAUACAAAAUGUAACGUUAGUGUUAUUUUCUAAUGAAAUGUUAUCACCUCUUGAGAUGUUCUGAUAUGAAAUACUCACUUCGUCCCAUAUUAAGUGUUGUGAUCAUGAUUACCCUCUUCAUCAAGCUUAUAGGGGUUGCGACAGUUGUCGUCAGAAGGGUGGUUUUGGGUUGAUCUUUGUAUUCGUUUUGUCAGGUUUGUUGAAUAAUAUAAUAAGAAAAGGUUGUGUGUAUUAUUUUGAUGUAGACACCGAUAGGUGCAUCCUCCUUUUGAAAAAAAUAUUAAGUGUCGUACAUGCAUAUCUUGACAAAAUUGCGACACAAAUGGAGUAGUUUCUCAAUAAAGUUUUACUGUUACAAAGCAAUGAUUAGAAUAUAUAUCCGUCGUCUCUUCGCACUGGUUCCAUCAUGUUACCCUAGCCACUGCUAGUGUGAAAUACAACAUAAACUUUUGUGCAAGAGUUGUCUUUAAAAUGUGCUAGUGGUCGCCAGAAAAAUUAAUGGUUUCUAGACAAUUAUAACAAAAAAUUAUUUCUUCGUCGACAAGCUGUGAAUUUUGAACGCAUCAUGGCCCGGGGCACACCCCUUGCA